Long non-coding RNA from Cebus imitator (Panamanian white-faced capuchin), 480 nucleotides. RefSeq lists it as uncharacterized. The record is from RefSeq and is a predicted model, not a curated record. The transcript has a single exon. Lineage: Eukaryota; Metazoa; Chordata; Mammalia; Primates; Cebidae.
CACCAUGGAUUCGGGCUACGGGAGCCCCGGACCCCCACCCCCAGUUCCUGCCUCACCCUCAGGCUACCUCGGUGUGCCAGCAGGGGAGCAGCGGGACCGGAUCUCUUUGCAGGCGCGCCAGCAUCCAUCUGUUUACUGCACGUUAAUCCUGAAUUUGGGGGGCGAUCUGUUUGAAAGACGCUAUUCCAAGGUGGCCACCUUAUGUGGUGGCCCAGGGAUGAUGACUCAUGGCUUUGGUUUGGGCAGAUCUGAAAGACCUAUCGCUUAUUUUGUCUACACGGAGGGAAGGUUACAAUAAGCUGAUGUCAUUGUGACGGGCAUUGGUCUGUUCCCGUUCGAAAGAAUUCAUUUUCAGCAGUGGGGGGUAUGUGUUAGAUCUUUGUUUAUCUUGCAGCUGAAUUCUCAGCCAGGUCCAUGGAAUUUUGAGUUGCCAACUUGUGUGCAAUAAUCCAGAGUAUUAAAGAAUUCUUUUUUCUUCUU